This is a long non-coding RNA of Heterocephalus glaber (naked mole-rat), 2919 nucleotides long. RefSeq lists it as uncharacterized. The record is from RefSeq and is a predicted model, not a curated record. Lineage: Eukaryota; Metazoa; Chordata; Mammalia; Rodentia; Bathyergidae.
UAAAGGGGCAGAGCUCCUUAAAGGGGGCGUCUCUGAGGGUUGACGGCGCUCUGAAGGGACUUCGGACUCUGGAGAAUAAAGCAAAGACGGGCUUCUGGGAUUUGGGGGGAAGCCAACGAUGCGGAAUUCUGAGCUAGAACAUUCUAGCUCAUCUCUGGGGCGCACUGCGACCGAAGAGUGUUCCCUGCCCUUUGUGGGCCUCAGUUUCCCUACUAAAUCCCGCUCUGAUUGACCUUCCCAAGCUCAGAUAAGAGAAAGGUCCUAACGCAAGGUUUUCUGGGGCUCAACUCUGGCCUUCUCCAGCUUUCCAGGCCUGCCCCUUCCAGCGUGCCCCUGUAGGGCGGUGUCCCGGUUCCAUGGAGACCGAUCUGCUCCCGGCUCCUCUGCCGCUCUGCGCUGGGGGAAGUAGCGCUGGAUGAUGACCAGUUCCGGAGACGAAAACCGGGUCCGACGCAGCCCGAGACGCAGAUGGUAAUGUAGGACCGUGGGCCUUACCAAACGCUCCGAGGAGCUGACUACAGCGAAGAUCACCCAGGAGGGAACACACCGGACAAGUUGUAAAACAGACCUUUAUUAGUCUGGCCAGACGGCACUCUCCAAGCUCCAAGCUUAGAGAGGCGCCCGGCUCAGAGCCUGAGGUCCUUUUAUAGGAGAUGUUAGAGGGAAGUUGGCAAGCAGAAACACAGAAGUGGAGGAGAGGGAUAAAACAGACCUUUUACAGAUUGUUUUUAAGAUAGCAUAUUCAGAUAUGGAGUUGGGCAAGCAUGACGGAACACUACGCACACAACAGACCUUCCUGGCACAAUAACAAGCACAUCCCUGGAACUCUAUGUCUACCUGGUGAUCCGUAACAGAAGCAGACAAGUUGGGGCCCUAUUACAAAAUGGAGUAACUGUUGUUCAGUCUCACAUUCCCCACUGAUUUUUCCUGUGGCUGUGUAAUCUUAUACAGCAUUAUCUUGGUAUUCUUGUCUCCAUCUUCGCUCUUCCUUGUCUAGCUCACUUAAAGGAUGAUAUUUGGCCUGUUGAUUCAGAAUCAUUAGGCGAACGGAUCCUAUCCGGGUCCUUACCUAGGCCAUAAGCUUAUUAAUAAUGCAUGGGCCAAAAGUCAAAGCUAGUAACAAGAUUAACGGGGGUCCAGCAAGGGCAGAAACAAGGGUAGUCAUCCAGGAAGACCAGUUAAACAUUGACUGGAACCAUCCCUCCUGUUUUAUCAAUCUAUUAUAAUUUUCUUGUAUAUGUUUAUUUACAGUGGCCAGGGUUUCUCUUAUUAUUCCAGAUUUAUUAGCAUAAUAGCAACAUUGCUCUCCUAGGGCUGCACAUAGCCCUCCCUCUUUCAUAAACCCGAGGUCAAGUCCUCGGCAGUUUUGAAGGACCAUCUCAGCCAGAGGAUCAACCUGUUUUUCCAAAUGAGACACUGACUCGGAACCUCGGGGUCAGGGGAGGCUUCCUGGCCGGUCAGCCACCUCACUCCUGACUUAACAAACGGUUGCAACCAGCCAAAAGCUUACCUCCGGAGGUUUUCUGAGGUCUGUGCCUGAGAGUCUCCUGCUGGAUCCCGCCACGGAGUCUCAGCCGAACCAGGGGUUCCUACCUGGGGAUCUCGCUGGGGCCUCCAGAAUGUAAGACCAUGGGCCUUACCAAACACUCCGAGGAGCUGACUACAGCGAAGAUCACCCAGGAGGGAACACACCGGACAAGUUGUAAAACAGACCUUUAUUAGUCUGGCCAGACAGCACUCUCCAAGCUCCAAGCUUAGAGAGGUGCCCGGCUCAGAGCCUGAGGUCCUUUUAUAGGAGAUGUUAGAGGGAAGUUGGCAAGCAGAAACACAGAAGUGGAGGAGAGGGAUAAAACAGACCUUUUACAGAUUGUUUUUAAGAUAGCAUAUUCAGAUAUGGAGUUGGGCAAGCAUGACGGAACACUACGCACACAACAGACCUUCCUGGCACAAUAACAAGCACAUCCCUGGAACUCUAUGUCUACCUGGUGAUCCGUAACAGAAGCAGACAAGUUGGGGCCCUAUUACAAAAUGGAGUAACUGUUGUUCAGUCUCACAGUAACGUGCGGGGAAGGUGCACGGAGAGCCACAUCGGCCCCUCCUUCCUGCUUCCCCACUGGGUCAAGGUCACAGUGACCUUAUUCACACUGCCUGGCACAGAGGCGAGGGACAGAGUAUUUUAAUCAAAGAGUAGGAGCCCAAGCCUCAGGCUCCACCAUCUGCUAGAGAACUUCCUCGGGGGGUCAAACCUCAAGGUCACUGGGAAAUAAGCCCUGGCCCCUCAGUAUCUAACUGGGGUCCAAAACCAAAGGAGCUCUGGUGCAGGUGAACUAGGAUGGGCAGUGCCAGACAGGUAGAGAAGUUAAGGUGUCGCAGCGCAGGGUGCAGGAGAGGAGGCUGUGGACAGCAGGGGCCAUGCUGGGGCAAGCUUGUUUCCCGGUCAUCUUGCGAAUUUCCUAUGGACCCUCGGGGAUCCUACAGGGGUGUGGCUGAAUACAUUCAUCCCUGAGGAUGGCAAAGAAAAACAGGUUGUGGAACAUUGGUGCUUUUCCUUACCUUUUCACCAUCUCUCAGAAGCCCUGAUCUCUCUCCCCUCUUUCUCCUGGAGAUCACGAAUUUCAGCCUUUGCAUGUCCCCUGUUCCCAUUGUAAGGAGAAUGCCUAGAACCUAGUAAACUAAACCAUACUGCGGAAGGAGGGAUGCUCUCUGGAAUUUGCAUACUUUAAGAAAGAAGAUCCCUGGAGAAAGCAAUGUUUAACUGAAACCAUGUGAUAUGAUAAAAUGUUAAGGCAAGAAGAGAACAUUUCCAAGUAUUACUCCACAGCAACUGAUUACCACUGAUUCCAUGCCCAGCUGUUGGGAGAAUGGUAAUAAUAACCGGUGUUUAUGAAAUGCUUAUUAAAAUGCAGGUGUUGCACUAAA